CGGACGGGUGAGUAACGCAUGGGUAACCUGCCUUGUACUGGGGGACAACAGUUAGAAAUGACUGCUAAUACCGCAUAAGCGCACAGUAUCGCAUGAUACAGUGUGAAAAACUCCGGUGGUACAAGAUGGACCCGCGUCUGAUUAGCUAGUUGGUAAGGUAACGGCUUACCAAGGCGACGAUCAGUAGCCGACCUGAGAGGGUGACCGGCCACAUUGGGACUGAGACACGGCCCAA
RNAcentral lists this ribosomal RNA (235 nucleotides) under uncultured bacterium. Its description in RNAcentral is "partial 16S ribosomal RNA". It matches the Rfam family "Bacterial small subunit ribosomal RNA", at positions 99 to 334 of the family's 1533-position model. The record is from RNAcentral.